GCCGCCCAAAUUAAAAAAAAAAUCAGAUCGGCCUCCUCCGAUCGCUGCAGUCGCUGCCACCAGAAUCUCAUCUACUCCCUGGCCUCCGCACCUGCACCAAAUUCUAUCGCUGCACCUAUCCAAACCGGCCUCACCUACAGCGCAGAUCGCUGCAGAAUCCGACAGCCCUGCAGCCCUGCCCCGCCCCUCCCCGCGCGCCGCAGCUUCCAACACAGCCCCGGCCGCCCCUCACCCAGUCCACCCCCCGCGCGGCUCAUCUCACGCAUAAGCGCCUGCAUCUUCGCUCAUAACAGCCUCCGCCCAGGCCCUCGAUCCAGUUACAGCUGCUCCCCAUCCCCGCGCAGCAAACCCACCUUGUUUGCGGUCUCAGCCCUAGCGCUCGCCUGCGAAACCAGCCCCGGCGAUCCCUCGCAGCCCAGUGUAACGGUGCCUGCUCCCACCUUCACUGAUCCCAGCACCUGCAAAUCACCAUCUGUAAAGAACCAGAAACCAGCAGAAAAACGCGAGG
This 508-nucleotide long non-coding RNA is filed under the name Rosa chinensis. Its description in RNAcentral is "sRNA RchiOBHm_Chr4g0424191". The record is from RNAcentral. Lineage: Eukaryota; Viridiplantae; Streptophyta; Magnoliopsida; Rosales; Rosaceae.